UCAUGAACAACGCAAAUAACAACGUCUAUGCUCCCCUGCUAUAUGCCUGAUGCGAGGUGGCAACUCCGUUGCUGCCCAAGAGUACUGGGAUCGUGAGGAACACAAGACGGAGAACAAAGCGAGCAAUCUUGGGUGCGGUGCUUCCCGGCUUCUGGCCACAUGGGGAGGACCGCAAUGAUUGAGCGUACAU
Molecule: small RNA, 190 nt
Filed under: Cordyceps fumosorosea ARSEF 2679
Lineage: Eukaryota; Fungi; Ascomycota; Sordariomycetes; Hypocreales; Cordycipitaceae
Description: Isaria fumosorosea ARSEF 2679 A. fumigatus sRNA Afu_182
Rfam family: A. fumigatus sRNA Afu_182
Source: Rfam by way of RNAcentral